UAUUGCACUUGUCCCGACGCGGC
Molecule: microRNA, 23 nt
Filed under: Xenoturbella bocki
Lineage: Eukaryota; Metazoa; Xenacoelomorpha; Xenoturbellidae
Description: Xbo-Mir-92-o91_3p (mature (guide))
Source: RNAcentral